AGAUUGAACGCUGGCGGCAUGCUUUACACAUGCAAGUCGAACGGCAGCACGGGGGCAACCCUGGUGGCGAGUGGCGAACGGGUGAGUAAUAUAUCGGAACGUACCCGGAAAUGGGGGAUAACGUAGCGAAAGUUACGCUAAUACCGCAUAUGCCCUGAGGGGGAAAGCGGGGGAUUCGUAAGAGCCUCGCGUUUUCGGAGCGGCCGAUAUCGGAUUAGCUAGUAGGUGAGGUAAAGGCUCACCUAGGCGACGAUCCGUAGCUGGUCUGAGAGGACGACCAGCCACACUGGAACUGAGACACGGUCCAGACUCCUACGGGAGGCAGCAGUGGGGAAUUUUGGACAAUGGACGCAAGCCUGAUCCAGCCAUGCCGCGUGCGGGAAGAACGGCC
Molecule: ribosomal RNA, 391 nt
Filed under: uncultured soil bacterium
Lineage: Bacteria
Description: bacterial SSU rRNA
Rfam family: Bacterial small subunit ribosomal RNA
Source: RNAcentral